UACCGGAUAUGAAUUCCCCUCGCAUGGGGGGCGUUGGAAAGCUCCGGCGGUUUGGGAUGGACUCGCGGCCUAUCAGCUUGUUGGUGAGGUAGUGGCUCACCAAGGCUUCGACGGGUAGCCGGCCUGAGAGGGCGACCGGCCACAUUGGGACUGAGAUACGGCCCAAACUCCUACGGGAGGCAGCAGUGGGGAAUAUUGCACAAUGGGCGCAAGCCUGAUGCAGCAACGCCGCGUGCGGGAUGACGGCCUUCGGGUUGUAAACCGCUUUCAGCGCAGACGAAGCGAAAGUG
This 290-nucleotide ribosomal RNA is filed under the name uncultured bacterium. RNAcentral's name for it is "partial 16S ribosomal RNA". It matches the Rfam family "Bacterial small subunit ribosomal RNA", at positions 167 to 458 of the family's 1533-position model. The record is from RNAcentral.